RNAcentral lists this ribosomal RNA (495 nucleotides) under uncultured bacterium. Its description in RNAcentral is "partial 16S ribosomal RNA". It matches the Rfam family "Bacterial small subunit ribosomal RNA", at positions 30 to 507 of the family's 1533-position model. The record is from RNAcentral.
UUGAACGCUGGCGGCGUGCUUAACACAUGCAAGUCGCACGCGAAAGGGGCUUCGGCCCUGAGUAAAGUGGUGCACGGGUGAGUAACGCGUGGAUAAUCUGCCCUUAUGAUCGGGAUAACAGUUGGAAACGGCUGCUAUUACCGGAUACGCUCAAGAUGAACUUUUUGAGGAAAGAUGGCCUCUGCUUGCAUGCUAUCGCGUAAGGAUGAUUCCGCGUCCCAUUAGCUUGUUGGCGGGGUAACGGCCCACCAAGGCAACGAUGGGUAGCCGAUUUGAGAGGAUGAUCGGCCACACUGGAACUGAAACACGGUCCAGACUCCUACGGGAGGCAGCAGUGGGGAAUAUUGCGCAAUGGGCGAAAGCCUGACGCAGCGACGCCGCGUGAGGGAUGAAGGUGUUCGGAUCGUAAACCUCUGUCAGAAGGGAAGAAACUACAUUGUGCUAAUCAGCAGUGUACUGACGGUACCUUCAAAGGAAGCACCGGCUAACUCCGUG